CCUACGGGAGGCAGCAGUGGGGAAUAUUGGACAAUGGGCGAAAGCCUGAUCCAGCAAUGCCGCGUGAGUGAUGAAGGCCUUCGGGUCGUAAAGCUCUUUUACCAGGGAUGAUAAUGACAGUACCUGGAGAAUAAGCUCCGGCUAACUCCGUGCCAGCAGCCGCGGUAAUACGGAGGGAGCUAGCGUUGUUCGGAAUUACUGGGCGUAAAGAGUACGUAGGCGGUUAUUCAAGUCAGAGGUGAAAGCCCGGGGCUCAACCCCGGAACUGCCUUUGAAACUAGAUAACUAGAGUCUUGGAGAGGUUAGUGGAAUUCCGAGUGUAGAGGUGAAAUUCGUAGAUAUUCGGAAGAACACCAGUGGCGAAGGCGACUAACUGGACAAGUACUGACGCUGAGGUACGAAAGCGUGGGGAGCAAACAGGAUUAGAUACCCUGGUAGUCCACGCCGUAAACGAUGAUAACUAGUUGUUCGGUCACUUGGUGACUGAGUGACGCAGCUAACGCAUUAAGUUAUCCGCCUGGGGAGUACGGUCGCAAGNUUAAAACUCAAAGGAAUUGACCGG
This 562-nucleotide ribosomal RNA is filed under the name uncultured bacterium. RNAcentral's name for it is "bacterial SSU rRNA". It matches the Rfam family "Bacterial small subunit ribosomal RNA", at positions 338 to 917 of the family's 1533-position model. The record is from RNAcentral.